Molecule: unclassified non-coding RNA, 233 nt
Filed under: plant metagenome
Description: partial contains small subunit ribosomal RNA, internal transcribed spacer 1, and 5.8S ribosomal RNA
Rfam family: Eukaryotic small subunit ribosomal RNA (bases 1-54)
Source: RNAcentral
GGAAGUAAAAGUCGUAGCAAGGUUUCCGUAGGUGAACCUGCGGAAGGAUCAUUCAUAAUAAAGUGUUUUAUGGCACUUUUUAAAAAUCCAUAUCCACCUUGUGUGCAAUGUUAGAUCUCGUCAAUCUUGGCGAGAUUUUUAUACAUCAACUCAUUCUUUAACUAAUUUGUCUGAAAAAUAUUAUGAAUACUUAAUUCAAAAUACAACUUUUAACAACGGAUCUCUUGGCUCUC